RNAcentral lists this transfer RNA (79 nucleotides) under marine eukaryotic metagenome. It matches the Rfam family "tRNA". Rfam says of the family: Transfer RNA (tRNA) molecules are approximately 80 nucleotides in length. Their secondary structure includes four short double-helical elements and three loops (D, anti-codon, and T loops). The record is from RNAcentral.
GGGAUAUGGCGAAAUUGGUAGACGCAUCGGACUUAAAAUCCGAAGGCUUCGGCCGUCCGGGUUCGAGUCCCGGUAUCCC